UGAGGAAUAUUGGACAAUGGGCGAAAGCCUGAUCCAGCGAUCCCGCGUGGAGGAUGACGCAUUAUGGUGUGUAAACUCCUUUUUUGAGGGAAGACGAAUGACGGUACCUCAAGAAUAAGUGACGGCUAACUAUGUGCCAGCAGCCGCGGUAAUACAUAGGUCACAAGCGUUAUCCGGAGUUACUGGGCGUAAAGCGUCCGUAGCCGGUAUUGUAAGUCUGUCUUCAAAUUCUCUGACUUAAUCAGAGGCAGGGGAUGGAUACUGCAAUGCUAGAGGUUUUUAGAGGUUAGUGGAAUUCCCGGUGUAGAGGUGAAAUUCGUUGAUAUCGGGAAGAACGCCAAAAGCGAAAGCAGCUAACUAUAAAAAUCCUGACGGUAAGGGACGAAAGCUUGGGUAGCAA
Molecule: ribosomal RNA, 400 nt
Filed under: uncultured bacterium
Lineage: Bacteria
Description: bacterial SSU rRNA
Rfam family: Bacterial small subunit ribosomal RNA
Source: RNAcentral